Orcinus orca (killer whale) is the source of this 368-nucleotide long non-coding RNA. RefSeq lists it as uncharacterized. The transcript has 3 exons. Lineage: Eukaryota; Metazoa; Chordata; Mammalia; Artiodactyla; Delphinidae. The record is from RefSeq and is a predicted model, not a curated record.
AUUUACUUGGCAUCUUGGUUGAAAAUCAACUGACCAAACACAUUUUGCGGGGGUUGCUGCAAGCUGCCUUGGAAGGAUUUCUCUCUGCGCCUCUUACCUCCAGCCUUCUGAGGGUGCCUGCCUUAGUUUCAGUGGCCCACACACUGGAAGAUCUCUCAGGAGGAUCCUCAGCCCUGCUGUCAGCCUUUCAGUGUAGUACACGUGGAGACCUGUGGGAAAGAGUCUUUGGGUUGAUAAGGUAUCUAAUCAUUUGGACAGAGAGCUCAAUCCCUUCUGCUCAGAGAUUCAGAAAUCUGACCUACAAAGAGCCUCGCUCCACCAAUGGGAGGUAAUGUUAUGAUUUCGUUCCCCUACAACCACCUCUGAAA